This 3062-nucleotide long non-coding RNA is filed under the name Fukomys damarensis (Damara mole-rat). RNAcentral's name for it is "lncRNA (ENSFDAG00000027747.1)". The record is from RNAcentral. Lineage: Eukaryota; Metazoa; Chordata; Mammalia; Rodentia; Bathyergidae.
AUGCGAACCAGGGACCCCGGCAGCCCUGGGGACGUGGACACGCAGGCCGCGGCCAACGCCAGCUGGUGGCUGCAUGAGGGCCGGUCACGCAGCCAGGGGGCCACUUGCUCCGGUUAUUAUUUGGCAGAACUUGUCCCUCUUUUAGUUGGCUUCUUUCUCUUCUUUCCUCCCCCGCUUCUCCUCCCCCUCCCCCUCCCUUCCCCUUCCUGGAUUCUUCUAGCGCUUCUCCACCAACCACUGCCAGUGGGCACCCGGGCUGCAGGCCGAGACGACACACUCGAGAUGCCCUCCAGGGACCAUAGGAGGGCGGGGUCCCCUCACACGGCCACUGCUGGCACUGCUGCCGGAGACCAAUCUCCCAGGUUGGCGCUGGAACUCAAUGCAGACAGACCACGGCAGAGCCCAAGCCAGGGCCUCCUGUCCCUGGACCCCAGGGACAGCUGGACCUUGGGCCUGCAAAGGGCAGAAACCACCCAUUAGAUGGGAAGAAACCCUGCUUCCCUUCCACACCUGUACCUGUCUAACUCCGGCUCCGGGGCUGCCAGACGCCUGGGUCCAGAAGCAGCAUCUGGUUUCCCAAUUGGAGCUGCUGCAGCGUCAGGUUAGCACGAUCCGCUCCCCGCAGGACCUCUGGGCCCCGGGACCCUUGUGAAGCUUAACUGGGGUCUUGGCUCUGUGCAGCCUCAGCCAGCCCCCGAGGGGAAGCCUGUCUCUGGGAGGGUGACCUUGGUCCCAUAGCCAUGGGCCCCAGUGGCGCUGGCCUGACUCCUUUCGUCCAGCAUCCAGCCAAUCCCAGUACCUCAGUUUCCCCAACCAUAAAACUCAACCGUGGGACUGGGGAGUCUUAAUGAGUGUGGGACUUUCUGGAUAAAUCAACCAGGUGCCAGAAAUAUCUGCGCUGGUGCGGAAUCUGCAGUAUGAACAGGAGAGUGAGUAUUCCAACACAGGACUGCAGCAGAAGCUCACAGGCCAGCCCUACUGCAUCCUGCCAAGUCUGCCCUUUCUCCUCUGGUCAAGGUUAUGAGCAAAGGACUUGCCUUUUCUGGGCUCCAUACUAAUCAGACAAAGGGUUUUCUCUAAAAAGAAACGUCCCUGGAACAACAUACGCUCCACACAGAGAAGGACAAAAUCUGUCUUAUUCCCCACCUCAACCCGAACGUCUGCACAGGGCUCCUUUGUGCCAAAAAAGAACUUGAACAAAUAAUCAUCCUAGGAAGAUAUUACCUUACUAUGUAAACUUGGUGCAAGAUUUCAGAAUGCCUUUCUCGUAUCUCCAUGUUCUGCUUUAAGACUUUAUAGGGCAGAAAAUACUAAGCCAUCUGGUAGACCAGUUAAUUAAACUUCAAAAAAGUCCACUUGACACAGUUGGAGGAAGACAAGCAACCAAGACUCUGGUCUCCUAAACCCAGCCCCAUCGUCUUGCUUUACAACGCACUGCUUUCUUUUGUCCACAGUUAGGGCGGGAAAAACACAGCCCAGGGCCCAAAUCCAGACCAACUUCUGAUUCUGUAAAUAAAGUUUUAUUGGAACACAGCCACUCACAUACAGCUGUGGCGCUCUUCCCGUUAGUACAGCAGAGUUGAAUAGCUCUAUAGCGAACACGUGGCCCACAAAGCCUAGCUAUUUCCUACUGGCUCACUUACCAAAGAGAGCUGGCUGCCCCUUGCUCCGCUGCAUGCCAUGCAUGUCCUGGGAUCUACUGCUACAAACAGGGUUUCUGUGGGUACACUGCUUUGGUCACAGAGCCUACCAUCAACUGCCACUCCAUGGACUCUGGCCAUGGUAAAUUCCUGCAGCUCGGCCGGUAUCACCGUAUUUAAUUCUCCUGGCAGCCCCCGUGAGGUCUGCAUUGUUGCAUGUGGAUAUAACGUGAUAACAGAAUCAGCCUGAACCACAGGAAAUUGUCUUUUUUUUUGUAGAUCCAAUACUGGCAAUUUCAUGUAAAUCCAGCAAAUGUGGUUAGCUCCAUUUUAAAGAAAGGGAACAAAGGAGAAAACAGGACCAGCUGGCCCCUUAGCUCACAGUCAGAAAGUGCUUAGAUACCAAGUAGCUAGCUGCACUAGGGCAGCUACUUGAUACAGCGCUGCUUAAAACUUUACAAUUCCCUUUGUGUAGUAAAAGUUUUGCUAAUAUCAAAGAACAGUCUGAUACUAUUUAGGAGAGCCUUCCCCAAAAUUUACUUGACCAGAAAAGUCCCUCCCCCUGUCCAAGUAGCACUAUGAAUGUUCUACCCAGGUAGGAUUCCUAGGAUGGACUGGUCUCUACUCCUCCCUUCAUUACUACAUUUCUGCAGGCUGCCUCCGGCUGCAGCUUCUACUGCUCCUGGCCAAUUCUAGACACCCUGUACCUCCUUUCAUUUUCACAAGAAAUGACCUCAACAGUCCAUGCUAAUUCCAUUUACAGGAAUAAUGAAGCUCUGUCCUGUGUGGCUUUGGAUGUUUAUUUCAAACAUUUUAACCACCCCCUAGGUCCCGUCUGUGAUGCAAAUAAACUGCAUCUUCCCUCAGAACUGCUCCUCCUGCAUCUGAGUUCUUUGGAUCUGUGUGCCUGGGUCAGUCGCCAGCUUUUGUCCUGAUUUGACACCUUUGAGACAUCAAAUCUGAGGUUUCCUUCUAUGCGGGUCAGUUAAGCAGCGUAGCAUGUUAUUCAGCUGGGUUCUUUUGUUUUGUUCUCCUACUUUUUAAAAGACACAAUAAUGGCUUGUCUAUGUAGAGUUUACAGCUCGAGAGCCCCACUUUUAUAUAUUUUCUUUGGGAAUAAGUCCUUAAUUUGUCAAAGCAUCUUUUCCUGCCUCCUCUGAAAAUAUUAACUUGAUCGGGAGCUUAGAAAUCUAUAUCAAAUGACAGACAUCUGUGCCCCAAAAUAGUAAGUCUCAAGUUUAAUAUUUUAUUACCAUAUUUUGGAACAACUGGCUAUGCAGCUGCUACUGUUAUCGUCCAAUUACUUCUCAUUUUUUCCAGAGUUUUAAAUGCAAGCUGUAACAAAUUGAAUCUAAAUUUCUAUAUGCUCUGUAAAAUUUUUUUUCAGAAAGCACAGCAAAAAAAAAAAAAAAAAAAAAAAAA